AGGCAUCCAGUAGCAGAACCCUUUCCCUACCAAGGUAGCAUCUUAGGAAGUGGAGAGGAACCUGAAUUCUGGAAUUCAAGUGUGCUGUCCAGCAAGCAAAAUUUUCACUUUCCAGCAGCAUAAAACACUAAAAUUUUGGCAACUUCAGUACCCAAAUUUUGAGAUACAAGCCAAACAGUUGAGUGUUGAUGAGAUUGAGUGUAUAUCAUCCAAAAGAAACUUGCUAGUGGAGUGAAAAUAUCCUGAAACAGUAAAGAAAGUGAGAUCUGAGUGAAUGCACAUGAAGCCAAUUAGCUUUGGUCGAGAGAAACUCUGCACUAAAUUUCCAUUGCUGAAAGAGUUCUUUCCUAAAUCUGAAUUGUCCUAGUUACUUAGAUUUGUGCAGCCUUUGAUUUGUUUGAUAUUCACAUGAGUAUUUGCUGUUUUGGUUUGCUAGAAUUAUGCAGAUUUGAUUUGGAAAGCCGUGCACAACAGCCUUUGUGACCAGUUUCAGCAGUGGGAAAACUGGAUCCAUCUUCCACAUCAAAUGCCUUGAAGCCGAGAGAGACUAGUGGUGCAGUUUUGAAAAGCUAAGAGACUCCAAAAGUAUUCCAGCACAAGGAAUUUGGCCAAAACUUGGCAAAACAUUUGAGUUUGUUUUGUUUAUUUUGUUUUGAAUUUGUAAGAGGUUCUUGUGUUAGUUUCUUCUUUGUAAAAGGCCAUUCAAAGUCCAAGUUGUCUUGGAAGAGUCCUUGGUGCUCUUUCAACUCUUGGCAAAACUUUUCUUGUGUGUUUUAAUUUGUGUUACACGUUU
RNAcentral lists this long non-coding RNA (793 nucleotides) under Vigna radiata. Its description in RNAcentral is "long non-coding RNA (VRAD_LNC017553)". Lineage: Eukaryota; Viridiplantae; Streptophyta; Magnoliopsida; Fabales; Fabaceae. The record is from RNAcentral.